RNAcentral lists this ribosomal RNA (450 nucleotides) under uncultured bacterium. RNAcentral describes it as "bacterial SSU rRNA". It matches the Rfam family "Bacterial small subunit ribosomal RNA", at positions 354 to 796 of the family's 1533-position model. The record is from RNAcentral.
GUGGGGAAUUUUGGACAAUGGGCGCAAGCCUGAUCCAGCAAUGCCGCGUGCAGGAAGAAGGCCUUCGGGUUGUAAACUGCUUUUGUACGGAACGAAACGGUCCGGGUUAAUACCCUGGGCUAAUGACGGUACCGUAAGAAUAAGCACCGGCUAACUACGUGCCAGCAGCCGCGGUAAUACGUAGGGUGCAAGCGUUAAUCGGAAUUACUGGGCGUAAAGCGUGCGCAGGCGGUUUUGUAAGACAGGCGUGAAAUCCACGGGCUCAACCUGGGAAUUGCGCUUGUGACUGCAAGGCUGGAGUGCGGCAGAGGGGGAUGGAAUUCCGCGUGUAGCAGUGAAAUGCAUAGAUAUGCGGAGGAACACCGAUGGCGAAGGCAAUCCCCUGGGCCUGCACUGACGCUCAUGCACGAAAGCGUGGGGAGCAAACAGGAUUAGAUACCCGUGUAGUCC